GAUGAACGCUGGCGGUAUGCUUAGCACAUGCAAGUCGAACGGUGUCUUCGGACAUAGUGGCGGACGGGUGAGUAACGCGUGAGAAUCUGCCUUCAGGAUGGGGACAACAGCUGGAAACGGCUGCUAAAACCCGAUGUGCCGAGAGGUGAAAUAUUUAUAGCCUGAAGAUGAGCUCGCGUCAGAUUAGCUAGUUGGUGAGGUAAAGGCUCACCAAGGCGACGAUCUGUGGCUGGUCUGAGAGGAUGAUCAGCCACACUGGGACUGAGACACGGCCCAGACUCCUACGGGAGGCAGCAGUGGGGAAUUUUCCGCAAUGGGCGAAAGCCUGACGGAGCAAUACCGCGUGAGGGAGGAAGGCUCUUGGGUUGUAAACCUCUUUUGAUCGGGAAGAAGACAGUGACGGUACCGAUCGAAUCAGCAUCGGCUAACUCCGUGCCAGCAGCCGCGGUAAUACGGAGGAUGCAAGCGUUAUCCGGAUUUAUUGGGCGUAAAGCGUCCGCAGGUGGUUGAGCAAGUCUGCUGUCAAAGCGCGGAGCUUAACUCCGUAAAGGCAGUGGAAACUGUUUAACUUGAGUACGGUAGGGGUAGCGGGAAUUCCCAGUGUAGCGGUGAAAUGCGUAGAUAUUGGGAAGAACACCAGCGGCGAAAGCGCGCUACUGGGCCUGUACUGACACUGAGGGACGAAAGCUAGGGGAGCGAAAGGGAUUAGAUACCCCUGUAGUCCUAGCUGUAAACGAUGGGUACUAGGUGUUGGCCGUAUCGACCCGGUCAGUGCCGUAGCUAACGCGUUAAGUACCCCGCCUGGGGAGUACGCACGCAAGUGUGAAACUCAAAGGAAUUGACGGGGGCCCGCACAAGCGGUGGAGUAUGUGGUUUAAUUCGAUGCAACGCGAAGAACCUUACCAGGGCUUGACAUGUCGCGAAUCCUCGGGAAACUGAGGAGUGCCUUCGGGAGCGCGAACACAGGUGGUGCAUGGCUGCCGUCAGCUCGUGUCGUGAGAUGUUGGGUUAAGUCCCGCAACGAGCGCAACCCACGUCUUUAGUUGCCAUCAUUCAGUUGGGCACUCUGGAGAGACUGCCGGUGACAAACCGGAGGAAGGUGUGGAUGACGUCAAGUCAGCAUGCCCCUUACGUCCUGGGCUACACACGUACUACAAUGCUGUGGACAGAGGGUUGCCAACUCGCGAGAGUGAGCUAAUCCCGUAAACCACGGCUCAGUUCAGAUUGCAGGCUGCAACUCGCCUGCAUGAAGGCGGAAUCGCUAGUAAUCGCAGGUCAGCAUACUGCGGUGAAUACGUUCCCGGGCCUUGUACACACCGCCCGUCACACCAUGGGAGUUGGCCACGCCCGAAGUCGUUACUCCAACCUUUUCGGAGGAGGAGGAUGCCGAAGGCAGGGCUGAUGACUGGGGUGAAGUCGUAACAAGGUAGCCGUACCGGAAGGUGUGGCUGGAUCACCU
Molecule: ribosomal RNA, 1459 nt
Filed under: Pantanalinema rosaneae CENA517
Lineage: Bacteria; Bacillati; Cyanobacteriota; Cyanophyceae; Leptolyngbyales; Leptolyngbyaceae
Description: bacterial SSU rRNA
Rfam family: Bacterial small subunit ribosomal RNA
Source: RNAcentral